This is a long non-coding RNA of Passer domesticus (house sparrow), 2720 nucleotides long. RefSeq lists it as uncharacterized. NCBI's taxonomy places the organism in Eukaryota, Metazoa, Chordata, Aves, Passeriformes, Passeridae. The record is from RefSeq and is a predicted model, not a curated record. The transcript has 5 exons.
GCAAACCUGAGUAGGAGUUCCCUCUUUCUGUUUGGCAAUUAAAUUAAUUAGCCCCUUAUCUUGCAAAGCUUAAUUGUGUGCCUGAGUCAUGUGAGACUUGAUAUUCAUGCUGAAGGUUAAAUUCACUUGUCAGGGCUUGCAGUGCUGAACUUUCUUGGGUGAAGGCAAGACAGCAGACACACAGGCAGGGUUUAAUGGGAUGUUGGGAAUGGCACGAUGAUGAGAGAAGAGGUGAAAAAUCACCAGCUGACAAGGACUGGGGAGUAGUGCCUGGGGAAGAUAGCAAAAGGUAUGCCUAGAAGUUGUGCAUUGUCCAAUCUCCCUGAAAACCAGACUAAGACUCAGAGGACUGCAGAGGCUGAGAGGAGAGCUGCAGUUAUUUUAAAAGAGUUGCAGGAUCCUAGCAUUGGAACUUCUUUUUCCAUGUGCGUAAGGAAAACAGGAUCAAAUCUCACUUUUACCACAGCUGUUGUGUUGCUCUCAAGGCAGAGACAAGCUGAUGUGUCCAGCACUCAGGGGUGUCCUCUAUUUUGAACUCCUCCUUCUGAAGAAGUUGUGCUGGGGGCUUGAUACCCUUGUUCUGAACUGCAGCAGAUGUAUUAGAAUCUCCCAGCCUUCACACACAGCAAAUCCAGGAGCUACACUGGCCUAUAAACACUGGAAAUUAAUGACAUGACAACCCCAGGAAAUAGUGCUUCAGAUAUGCAAGUGCCUCAUGGGAGGAACUCAUUACUGGAGUUACAGUAAAUUGCCACUGAGUGAAUGCUGGAGGAGCUUCCCACACUUCAUAAGCUUGGUCUUGUCUGAUUUCAAGGGAUAAGUUCAGUGCAUUUGACUAAAUAUAUAUCAAGAAAGAAGCCAAGCCUGAACAGCUGCUUGCUUUGCUGGAUAAGACUUAUAUUUUCAUUUAAAAAGCUAUUUUUUUCCUGUCUUAAUGUUAACUGACAUAAUAGCAAAGUUAACUAUCCUGAAAACACCCUGCCCUGAGGUGUCAUCUCAAGAAUCUUUUUCAAACUGAAAUUAAAUCAGUCAAUAAUUAAAGUGCCAUAAGGACAAAAGGUGUCUCAUGUCACACUAGAUUAGACAAAGUGUUUUGUGCUGUCCAGAACUUCCCUUUUUGCCAUUGCAGUGUUUGCCUUGUUCAUUAUUGCUGUUCUCCUCAAAAUCAAGCUCAGCUCUAGAUGUGAAAGUUCAAAAUUGCAGUUGUCAUCCAGAGAAGAUGGCAAAUUCCCCUUUCCUCUUUCCAGUGGGCUGGUGAAGGGAUGUUGAGCACUAAUGCUGGGAACAUGGGCAGUGUAUACCCAUGUGCUGGCUUGUUCAGACACACAUUUGAUAUGGAUGCAGCACUGAUGGAAAACAAGGGCCUCUUCUUAUUUUUAUGAAGAUUAGUGGUGUCCAUCUGUGGUCUUACACUGCUUAACUGCCUGUUUUUAAAGGUAUUUGUAGUAGAUAAACAAACUGUAAAAAAAGCAAAUGCUGGAUUCAUAAAGUUUCAAGUGCUGGUGGGAAAACAAUGGAAAAAUGUAUUAAACAGAACAUUUCCCAGUCCAGAAUUAUAUGGGCUGCCAUACCCAGGAUUAAACUUAUGUUCAACUGUUGCUAAAUUGGCAAAAUACUAACCUGCACCUUUCUAGUCCCUGUCCUGCCAUUUAAUGUGAGCUUUUCUUGAGACAAGAUGCAGGUUUAUUGCAAGAAUUAGUGGGCAGGAUUCUCUGCCAUAGGGAUGUGCCACUGCAAGGUCAUGAGCUUUCUUUAAGGCUUAAAAGUGAAAACACCACCCACAAAUAUCCAGGGAUACCCAAAUAUUGGUAUAUUUGGCGUUCAUUGUCCUGUUAAUAAGUUUCUGCUGCUGACUGGAUGACCCAAGCAAUACUGUGUCCUUGAAAAUAAUUUUUUCCUCCUCCUCUCUUUGUCAUCAAGAAAACAUGAGUUUUAGUCUGCACUGUCAUAUUUCAAAUGCCUCUAAACCAGAGCUCUGCAGGAAAUGCUGCAUUUUGGCUCGGCAUCUUAAUGCCUGGUGCUUUAGCUCAGCAGUGGGAAGGAGGAGACAGAUAUGAGGGGGCCAAAAUUCUUCCCAACUGCAGCUCACUGCGCUCUGAUCGAGAGCUUUUGUAUGCAUUGUUCACAUUGUGAACCACUCUGUAUUACACUGGGGACUUCAGAGGAAUUUCUGAGAGCAUGGGCAGAUGGUGGCUGUGAUGCAGCUGCCUUCGUUUUGGCCACAAAAUUUAAUUUCUGUUCCUAGAAAAAUUGAAGAAUGUCACUUAUUCACCUUUCUAAUAAAGGUAUUCAGGUGUGCAUGCGACACCAGAGAAACAGGGGGUUUGCCUGCUGAAAGAUACAUCCUUCUGAAAAGUUUCUCAAAAUCCGAGGGCAGCAAGAUGAAAGAAGUUGAGGAAAGACUGUCCUUAACAGGCUUAUAUCUUUUGUGCACUUGAAUGGCACAAAGCUUCUGCCUGUUGGAUGUGACACCUCUCUGCAGAAGCAGUUUAAAAUCAUACUCAGCCCUAGGUAGGUCCACCCUGGUUGCAGUGUUUCUUAACUUGGGGACAACAUCUAUAUCUGAUGAAAAAUAUGAGCAGAACUACAUCUCUUUUGCCCAGCAUCUGUCUUCCUUCUAAUCUGCUCACUGCUAACAAUCCCUUUGUGGUCAGAUAACAUCUAUUUCUGUUCUACUGUGAAAAGCUCAAGUAGAAAGUCCACCAAUUGUUGAGAAAGAA